This 251-nucleotide ribosomal RNA is filed under the name uncultured bacterium. Its description in RNAcentral is "partial 16S ribosomal RNA". It matches the Rfam family "Bacterial small subunit ribosomal RNA", at positions 525 to 775 of the family's 1533-position model. The record is from RNAcentral.
ACGUAGGGGGCGAGCGUUGUCCGGAAUUACUGGGCGUAAAGGGUGCGUAGGCGGCCCUGCAGGUCAGAUGUGAAAUACCCGUGCUUAACAUGGGGGCUGCAUUUGAAACCGUAGGGCUUGAGUGCGGAAGAGGUAAGUGGAAUUCCCGGUGUAGCGGUGAAAUGCGUAGAGAUCGGGAGGAACACCAGUGGCGAAGGCGACUUACUGGGCCGCAACUGACGCUGAGGCACGAAAGCGUGGGGAGCAAACAG